This 89-nucleotide unclassified non-coding RNA is filed under the name Pseudomonas orientalis. The record is from RNAcentral. Lineage: Bacteria; Pseudomonadati; Pseudomonadota; Gammaproteobacteria; Pseudomonadales; Pseudomonadaceae.
GGUGGGAGGGGGCUUGCCCCCGAUAGCGGUGUAUCAGUUACUAGUGCUGGGACUGACACACUGCUAUCGGGGGCAAGCCCCCUCCCACA